AUUGAACGCUGGCGGCAGGCCUAACACAUGCAAGUCGAGCGGAUGACGGGAGCUUGCUCCUUGAUUCAGCGGCGGACGGGUGAGUAAUGCCUAGGAAUCUGCCUGGUAGUGGGGGACAACGUUUCGAAAGGAACGCUAAUACCGCAUACGUCCUACGGGAGAAAGCAGGGGACCUUCGGGCCUUGCGCUAUCAGAUGAGCCUAGGUCGGAUUAGCUAGUUGGUGGGGUAAUAGCUCACCAAGGCGACGAUCCGUAACUGGUCUGAGAGGAUGAUCAGUCACACUGGAACUGAGACACGGUCCAGACUCCUACGGGAGGCAGCAGUAGGGAAUAUUGGACAAUGGGCGAAAGCCUGAUCCAGCCAUGCCGCGUGUGUGAAGAAGGUCUUCGGAUUGUAAAGCACUUUAAGUUGGGAGGAAGGGCAGUAAGUUAAUACCUUGCUGUUUUGACGUUACCGACAGAAUAAGCACCGGCUAACUCUGUGCCAGCAGCCGCCGUAA
Molecule: ribosomal RNA, 500 nt
Filed under: uncultured bacterium
Lineage: Bacteria
Description: partial 16S ribosomal RNA
Rfam family: Bacterial small subunit ribosomal RNA
Source: RNAcentral